RNAcentral lists this long non-coding RNA (624 nucleotides) under Mytilus galloprovincialis (Mediterranean mussel). Lineage: Eukaryota; Metazoa; Mollusca; Bivalvia; Mytilida; Mytilidae. The record is from RNAcentral.
UUAUACUUGUUUGGCUUUCUAACUAUUUUGAUCUGAGCGUCACUGAUAAGUUUUAUGUAGACGAACCGCGCGACUGGCGUAUCAAAAUUAUAAGCUUGGUACCUUUGAUAACUAAUAAUACAUCCUUGGCUGUCAAAUAUUCGGUUGUGAGCGUUCCUGAUGAAGGCCGGUAAAUCUAGAAAAGCGUUUCGGACGCAUGGAAUUUCUGACGUGUCGUUUUAUUAUUUUUACAACUCACUUGAUGUACUAUGAUACUUUUAUUUAAUCCCUACCGACAGAUAUUAGCAUUUACAAGUUUCUGUCAAAGAACCCCUUUUCUUUUUGCAAUCGUUUUGCAAUCGUUUUUUAUGAAAAGAUAAGGAAAAACAAAAGUAGCUUUACAGCGUACAAUAUAAAAAUGUGCUACUAGUAUUACAAAAUAUAAAUAAUUUUGUUAUUUUAACGAAUGGUAUAUCACUAUUAAAUCACAACCUUUUUCGGUAUGCUAUUUUGUUUGUAUAUCUAUUAAUCACUUAUCGAUGUCAAACAAUAUUGAUGCAACGAUGGUGAUAAUAGCAGAAAUAAUGACAAAAGCAAACGCAAAAUGAAGAUUUUCCGUCGUACAUGUAGUAGUUCAUAAAACGU